This 402-nucleotide ribosomal RNA is filed under the name uncultured bacterium. RNAcentral's name for it is "bacterial SSU rRNA". It matches the Rfam family "Bacterial small subunit ribosomal RNA", at positions 355 to 774 of the family's 1533-position model. The record is from RNAcentral.
UGGGGAAUAUUGGACAAUGGGCGAAAGCCUGAUCCAGCCAUGCCGCGUGAGUGAUGAAGGCCCUAGGGUUGUAAAGCUCUUUUGUGCGGGAAGAUAAUGACGGUACCGCAAGAAUAAGCCCCGGCUAACUUCGUGCCAGCAGCCGCGGUAAUACGAAGGGGGCUAGCGUUGCUCGGAAUCACUGGGCGUAAAGGGUGCGUAGGCGGGUUUCUAAGUCAGAGGUGAAAGCCUGGAGCUCAACUCCAGAACUGCCUUUGAUACUGGAAGUCUUGAGUUCGGGAGAGGUGAGUGGAACUGCGAGUGUAGAGGUGAAAUUCGUAGAUAUUCGCAAGAACACCUGUGGCGAAGGCGGCUCACUGGCCCGAUACUGACGCUGAGGCACGAAAGCGUGGGGAGCAAACA